GCUGGGCAUGGUGGCGCACGCCUGUAAUCCCAUUUACUUGGGAGGCUGAGGUGGGAGAAUCGCUUUAACCCAGGAGGUGGAGGUUGCAGUGAGCUGACAUCAUGCCACUGUGCUCCAGCCUGGGUGACAGAGUGAGACCCUGUCUCAA
RNAcentral lists this non-coding RNA (148 nucleotides) under Chlorocebus sabaeus (green monkey). Lineage: Eukaryota; Metazoa; Chordata; Mammalia; Primates; Cercopithecidae. The record is from Rfam by way of RNAcentral.